Molecule: long non-coding RNA, 396 nt
Organism: Gossypium arboreum
Lineage: Eukaryota; Viridiplantae; Streptophyta; Magnoliopsida; Malvales; Malvaceae
Exons: 2
Source: RefSeq, a predicted model, not a curated record
AAUGGAUGAAGUAUGAAGUUUUAUUAAAAGAAAAAGGGGUGAAAAGAACAAAGUUUUGUCCAUCUUUGUUCAUCAUAGCUGAAAGUUAGAGAAGAGAAAGGAGAGGAGAAAGCUCUUGAGUAUUCGGUCAUUAGGAGGAGGAAAAUUGAAGGAAAUCCCCAACCAUAGUGGGCUUGGAGCUAUGAGGGAAUUCGGAGUGGCCACCCGUUCUGAAAGUUUGAUUUUCUUCUGGUGAACUGGACAUCCUUUUAAUUACGUUUGAGGUUUUGGGCUUUUAAAUGUAAUAAGGCCGCUUAUUUAUUUUUGAUGGUUUUUAAUAUGUAUUACUAAGAUAGGUAAUACUUAUUUUAACUGUUGAAAUUGGAUAGCUUUAGGGCGCGUUUUCAAAAACAACAA